This 719-nucleotide long non-coding RNA is filed under the name Helianthus annuus (common sunflower). Its description in RNAcentral is "hypothetical non coding rna". Lineage: Eukaryota; Viridiplantae; Streptophyta; Magnoliopsida; Asterales; Asteraceae. The record is from RNAcentral.
ACAGAAAGUGGAAUUGUGAGAAAGAUUUCAAAAUAUGUAUAAGGAUCAAAAUCCCUAAUAUUUCUCAUUGUUGUCUAGAUAAAGCACACAAAAGAGAAGAAGAUCGAGAUAUAGGGUUUGUGAUGAAUUGAGAGCUAGCUUUUAAAGCCAACACGAAAUUCACGAUCAACACACUCGAAGAUGAGAAACAUUAUAGCGUUACUAAAGGAGCUAUUAGGGGUUGAUUUCGAAGAAGUUGGCAUGACAUCAAGAUCAAGAAAAGGAGCAAUGAUUUUCUUUUUUUUACUUCGAUAGUUGGCUUGGCUAUCUCUGAAUCAACAAGCGUGAGGUUUAAUCCUGUAUUGGGAUCCUUAGUUGGGAACCAAGGAGCACAUUGGGGUAACACAUGUGACAUCGGUUAGAGCUCUAUUGUCUUGUAGAAUUCCCGCUUCACGUUGAGAAUGUGAAUAGGAGUGAGGUUGUGGAUGUACCUUCCCCUAGUCAUAGCAACAUGUAAGGAUGAUCAUAGAAUUGAAACUUAAAGUCCGGAGAAUCAAGACAAAGAGGCACAUGUGUUUUAUGGUCCUACAUCAAAAUCAUCUAUAACCACUUCUAAUGGUAAUCCUGUUGAUUCCAUCAAUCAGAUAAAGGAUUGUACUAUAUUCCUACAUGGAUUUUGUGUCACAAAGGUUUAGAAAAAAAGUUUAUUUUGAGUCACAAUAUAAUAUUAAAUGAUAUUA